Molecule: transfer RNA, 82 nt
Filed under: Dreissena polymorpha
Lineage: Eukaryota; Metazoa; Mollusca; Bivalvia; Myida; Dreissenidae
Description: tRNA-Ser
Rfam family: tRNA (bases 6-74)
About the family: Transfer RNA (tRNA) molecules are approximately 80 nucleotides in length. Their secondary structure includes four short double-helical elements and three loops (D, anti-codon, and T loops).
Source: RNAcentral
GUGCCGUAGCCUAGUGGUUAAGGCGAUAGACUAGAAAUCUUCUGGGAUAUUUCCGCGCAGAUUCGAAUCCUGCCAAGACAUA